GUGUGGCACAGUGGUCAGAGUGUUGGGCUAGGACCUCAGAAACCAGGGUUCAGAUCCCCACUUGGCCA
Molecule: non-coding RNA, 68 nt
Organism: Podarcis lilfordi (Lilford's wall lizard)
Lineage: Eukaryota; Metazoa; Chordata; Lepidosauria; Squamata; Lacertidae
Source: the annotation of a GenBank genome assembly